CCUACGGGAGGCAGCAGUAGGGAAUAUUGCUCAAUGGGCGAGACACUGAAGCAGCAAAGCCGCGUGAAGGAUGAAGGUUUUCGGAUUGUUAACUCCUUUUGUUAGAGAAGAUAAUGACGGUAUCUAACGAAUAAGCACCGGCUAACUCCGUGCCGGCAGCAGCGGUUAUACGGCGGGUGCAAGCGUUACUCGGAAUCACUGGGCGUAAAGAGCGCGUAGGCGGGAUAGCAAGUCAGAUGUGAAAGCCUAUGGCUUAACCAUAGAACUGCAUUUGAAACUGGUAGUCUAGAGUAUGGGAGAGGUAGGUGGAAUUCUUGGUGUAGGGGUGAAAUCCGUAGAGAUCAAGAAGAAUACUCAUUGCGAAGGCGGCCUGCUAGAACAUAACUGACGCUGAUGCGCGAAAGCGUGGGUAGCAAACAGGAUUAGAUACCCUGGUAGUC
This 440-nucleotide ribosomal RNA is filed under the name uncultured bacterium. RNAcentral describes it as "partial 16S ribosomal RNA". It matches the Rfam family "Bacterial small subunit ribosomal RNA", at positions 338 to 795 of the family's 1533-position model. The record is from RNAcentral.